GGGUUAAGUCCCGCAACGAGCCGCAACCCUUUGUCUUUAAUUGCCAUCAUUCAGUUGGCAACUUUAAAGAGACUGCCGGUGUUAAACCGGAGGAAGGUGGGAUGACGUCAAGUCCUCAUGGCCUUUAUGCCCAGGGCUACACACGUGCUACAAUGGGUGGUACAAAGAGAUGCAAUCUCGCAAGAGCAAGCAAACCUACAAAAAGCCAUCCUCAGUUCGGAUUGGAGUCUGCAACUCGACUCCAUGAAGUCGGAAUCGCUAGUAAUCGCGGAUCAGCACGCCGCGGUGAAUACGUUCCCGGGCCUU
This 306-nucleotide ribosomal RNA is filed under the name uncultured Syntrophus sp. RNAcentral's name for it is "bacterial SSU rRNA". It matches the Rfam family "Bacterial small subunit ribosomal RNA", at positions 1077 to 1382 of the family's 1533-position model. The record is from RNAcentral. Lineage: Bacteria; Pseudomonadati; Thermodesulfobacteriota; Syntrophia; Syntrophales; Syntrophaceae.